CCCUUAGAUGUCCUGGGCCGCACGCGCGCUACACUGAGUGUCUGAGAUACGAGUCUGCCUAGCCGGCGAGGUCUAGGUAAUCGCUGAAAGACACAUCAUCCUUGGGAUAGAUUAUUGCAGAUAUUAAUCUUGAACGAGGAAUUCCUAGUAAGCGCAAGUCAACAGCUUGCGUUGAUUACGUCCCUGCCCUUUGUGCACACCGCCCGUCGCUACUACUAAUUGGAUGUUUAAGCGAGGUUCUCGAACUGCUAGCGACUUAGCUUCGGUGAGGUCGCCGUGUGGGAAGUGAACCUAGCUUUGGUGUCUAGAGGAAGUAAAAGUCGUAUCA
RNAcentral lists this ribosomal RNA (328 nucleotides) under uncultured eukaryote. Its description in RNAcentral is "partial 18S ribosomal RNA". It matches the Rfam family "Eukaryotic small subunit ribosomal RNA", at positions 1470 to 1796 of the family's 1831-position model. The record is from RNAcentral.